Molecule: transfer RNA, 73 nt
Filed under: Neotoma lepida (desert woodrat)
Lineage: Eukaryota; Metazoa; Chordata; Mammalia; Rodentia; Cricetidae
Rfam family: tRNA
About the family: Transfer RNA (tRNA) molecules are approximately 80 nucleotides in length.
Source: Rfam by way of RNAcentral
GAAGAAAUGGCUCAUUGGUUAAGAGCACUGUCUACUUCUCCAGAGGAUCUGGGUUCAAUUCCCAGUACCCACA